AACGAACGCUGGCGGCGCGCCUAAUACAUGCAAGUCGAGCGAGAAGACGUAGCAAUACGUUUGUAAAGCGGCGAACGGGUGAGGAAUACAUGGGUAACCUACCCUCGAGUGGGGAAUAACUAGCCGAAAGGUUAGCUAAUACCGCGUACGCUCCUUGGACUUCGGUUCAGGGAGGAAAGCGAUACCGUGGGUAUCGCGCUCUUGGAUGGGCUCAUGUCCUAUCAGCUUGUUGGUGAGGUAACGGCUCACCAAGGCUUCGACGGGUAGCUGGUCUGAGAGGACGAUCAGCCACACUGGCACUGCGACACGGGCCAGACUCCUACGGGAGGCAGCAGUAAGGAAUAUUGCGCAAUGGGCGAAAGCCUGACGCAGCGACGCCGCGUGGGGGAUGAAGGUCCUCUGGAUUGUAAACUUUCUUUUAUAUGGGAACGAAAAGGCUUUUCUAAGUCGUCUGACGGUACCAUAUGAAUAAG
Molecule: ribosomal RNA, 473 nt
Filed under: uncultured bacterium
Lineage: Bacteria
Description: bacterial SSU rRNA
Rfam family: Bacterial small subunit ribosomal RNA
Source: RNAcentral